This 575-nucleotide ribosomal RNA is filed under the name Colletotrichum chlorophyti. Its description in RNAcentral is "eukaryotic LSU rRNA". The stretch from base 222 to 375 matches the Rfam family "5.8S ribosomal RNA". The record is from RNAcentral. Lineage: Eukaryota; Fungi; Ascomycota; Sordariomycetes; Glomerellales; Glomerellaceae.
CAAGGUCUCCGUUGGUGAACCAGCGGAGGGAUCAUUACUGAGUUUACCGCUCUAUAACCCUUUGUGAACAUACCUUACUGUUGCUUCGGCGGGCAGGACGGCGGCCUCGGCCCCGGCCUCCCGGCCUCCGCCCCCUCUGCGGGGCGGCGGGCGCCCGCCGGAGGAUAACCAAACUCUGUUUUAACGUCGUCUCUUCUGAGUGGCACAAGCAAAUAAAUAAAAACUUUUAACAACGGAUCUCUUGGUUCUGGCAUCGAUGAAGAACGCAGCGAAAUGCGAUAAGUAAUGUGAAUUGCAGAAUUCAGUGAAUCAUCGAAUCUUUGAACGCACAUUGCGCCCGCCAGCAUUCUGGCGGGCAUGCCUGUUCGAGCGUCAUUUCAACCCUCAAGCUCAGCUUGGUGUUGGGGCCCUACGCCUGGCGUAGUCCCCUAAAGGUAGUGGCGGACCCUCUCGGAGCCUCCUUUGCGUAGUAACUAACGUCUCGCACUGGGAUCCGGAGGGACCUCUCGCCGUAAAACCCCCAAUUUUUCUUAGGUUGACCUCGGAUCAGGUAGGAAUACCCGCUGAACUUAAGC